This 100-nucleotide ribosomal RNA is filed under the name Caerostris darwini. The record is from RNAcentral. Lineage: Eukaryota; Metazoa; Arthropoda; Arachnida; Araneae; Araneidae.
AUGCUGAAUAUACCGGUUCUCGUUAGAUCACCGAAGUCAAGCAUCAUUGGGCGCGGUCAGUACUUGGGUGGGUGACCACCUGGGAACACCGCGUGCCGUU